RNAcentral lists this long non-coding RNA (1360 nucleotides) under Anas platyrhynchos platyrhynchos (common mallard). Its description in RNAcentral is "lncRNA (ENSAPLG00000027110.1)". The record is from RNAcentral. Lineage: Eukaryota; Metazoa; Chordata; Aves; Anseriformes; Anatidae.
AUGCCCUUUACUAUUCAAGCUCCUUCUACAUGUUUUUAUUCAACUGCAUCUUGCACCAGGCAUCAAACAAGCCCAAGACUAUUAUGUGCUGAAAGCUUUCCCUGUGGAGCGAGCUGCUUGGAUCCGCCUGGUGUUUUCCAGUCCAUCUCCCCAGUGAGACAUGCAGACAAGUUAAAACAGGCACAUUUCAACAGGGCCCAGAAAGAGGAUGGCGGAGGAUUUGUCAGGCACACAAGGGCUGCCUCCCCUCGCUCCCUGUCCUUUGCAGUGGAAAUGGGGAAGCAGCCACAGCACCACUCCCCCAGUGAUGGGGACCAUCAGGGCUGGUGCUGGUGGAUUCCAGGGCUGGGAAGAAAAGAAGCUGUGCCCCAUGGUGGAGGUGAGGACACCCAAAAGCUGGGACUGGUGAGUGUAGAAGGACAGGAUGUGUCUCUGGACGGUUAUUCCCUGCUGUGGAGGGGUUUUGCAGCCAACGGGCCAUCCUGCUGCUGCGGGCUCACUCCAUCAUCAAGGCAAACCUUGGGAAAGGCCCCAGGACUGGUGCUGGGGCAGCCCGUGGGAAUGGGCUGGAGCAGGAACCCCCGCGGGGCCAUUUCCCAAAGGCAGCGUCAAUCCUGCCACCUCCUCCUGCCACCCCUGCGGCGCCUCCGCACCCGCUCCCGUGCUGCCCGUGGCCCCCCGCCGGGCAGGGACUCCCCAGGCCCGCGGCCACGGCGCGGGGAAGGCAGGAUGGCAAACUUCACACCAUGGUGUCAGGCCAGCUCCCAGCACGCCGCCACCUCCUCCUCCUCCUUCGGCUAUAGCUGCGAACGCAUCAGCGGCAGUAAAGAGGUUAAUGGGAGCGGGAGGAGGGAGCGGGGGAGAGCGAAGCUGUUCCCAUGAACUGGCUCCAAGGCUUUUACAGAAGCGGAGCAUCUGGCCACGGGGCUCAUUUGCCCCGGAGCAGAUGGUCCUGUCCUCUGUCCCCGGCCUGGGCGGUGGGGCUGGGGCUGAUGCUGAGCCCGAGGAGCCUUUUGUCACUCGGAGAUUUCGCAGGAGGCAGCGCUGAGUCCCACGGGGAGGGGGAGAGAGAGAGGAGAGGUCCCUGGGAUUUCUCAGGAGUUCUCAGCCUAAACAAGCUCCUGUAGGUGAUUUUUUUAAAGCCUCCAGAGCUCAGGGCUGACCCCUUCACCCAGAGCCCCAGUGCUGGGCUCACAAGGUCCAAGCAUGCCCUGCAGGCUGCUGUGGGGCUGCCUGUGUCCAUACCGGGGACAUCCACCCCAAAACCAGCCGCCACACUCACCACGGGGCUGAGCAAGAUGUUGUGUGGAGAGCACCCUUGCCAAGGAUGCCACAAAAAAAGAUUUACGAUGUGAUGGUU